RNAcentral lists this ribosomal RNA (904 nucleotides) under uncultured archaeon. RNAcentral describes it as "bacterial SSU rRNA". It matches the Rfam family "Archaeal small subunit ribosomal RNA", at positions 6 to 919 of the family's 1478-position model. The record is from RNAcentral.
GGUUGAUCCUGCCGGAGACUAUUGCUAUCCGGGUUCUACUAACCCAUGCGAGUCUAAGUCGCAAGGCUUGGCGAAUUGCUGUGUAAUGAGCAGUCAACUUACCCUCAAGUGGAGGAUAAUCACGGGAAACUGUGGCUAAUGCUCCAUAGAUAUAGAUUUCUGGAAUGAGUUUAUAUCAAAAGCUUUCGCGCUUGAGGAUAGGACUGUUCCUGAUUAGGCUGUUGUUGGUGUAACGAACCAGCAAACCGAUAAUCAGUAGGGGCUAUGGAGGUAGGAGCCUCCAGAUGGAUUCUGAGACAUGAAUCCAGGUACUACGGUAUGCAGCAGGGGAGAAACCUUUGCAAUCGGCUCACGCCGGACAAGGGAACCUGGAGUGACUCUGUUUUACAGAGUCUUUUGUUGACUGAAAACGGGUCAGCGAAUAAGGGCUGGUGAAGACGGGUGCCAGCCACCGCGGUAAUACCCGCAGCCCGAGUGAUGGUCAGUAUUAUUGGGUCUAAAGCGUCCGUAGCCGGUUUGACAAGUUCCUGGUGAAAUCCACUAGCAAACUAGUGGGCUUGCUGGGGUUACUGUUAAACUUGAGACCGGGAGAGGGCAGAGGUACUCUCAGGGUAGGGGUUAAAUCCUGUAAUCCUGAGGGGACCACCUGUGGCGAAGGCGUCUGCCUAGAACGGGUCUGACGGUGAGGGGCGAAAGCUAGGAGAGCGAUCGGGAUUAGAUACCCCGGUAGUCCUAGCUGUAAACGUUGCCUGUUUGGUGUUGCAGACCUCUUGGGGGUUUGCAGUGCCGGAGCGUAGGUGUUAAACGGGCCACCUGGGAAGUAUACUCGCAAGGGUGAAACUUAAGGGGAUUGGCAGGGGAGCACACAAGGGGUGGGCAGUGCGGUUCAAUUGGAUUCAACGCC